Molecule: ribosomal RNA, 485 nt
Filed under: uncultured bacterium
Lineage: Bacteria
Description: bacterial SSU rRNA
Rfam family: Bacterial small subunit ribosomal RNA
Source: RNAcentral
CGCCUUAUACUCCUACGGGAGGCAGCAGUGGGGUAUUUUGGACAAUGGGGGCAACCCUGAUCCAGCAAUGCCGCGUGAGUGAAGAAGGCCUUCGGGUUGUAAAGCUCUUUUGUCAGGGAAGAAACGGUAGUAGCUAAUAUCUAUUACUAAUGACGGUACCUGAAGAAUAAGCACCGGCUCACUACGUGCCAGCAGCCGCGGUAAUACGUAGGGUGCAAGCGUUAAUCGGAAUUACUGGGCGUAAAGCGUGCGCAGGCGGUUGUGUAAGUCAGAUGUGAAAUCCCCGGGCUCAACCCGGGAAGUGAAUUUGAGAGUGCACGGCUAGAGUGUGUCAGAGGGGGGUAGAAUUACGCGUGUAGCAGUGAAAUGCGUAGAUAUGUGGAGGAAUACCGAUGGCGGAGGCAGCCCCCUGGGAUAACACUGACGCUCAUGCACGAAAGCGUGGGGAGCAAACAGGAUUAGAUACCCGUGUAGUCCACGUACCA